UGGGGAAUAUUGCACAAUGGGCGCAAGCCUGAUGCAGCCAUGCCGCGUGUGUGAAGAAGGCCUUCGGGUUGUAAAGCACUUUCAGCGGGGAGGAAGGGAGUAAAGUUAAUACCUUUGCUCAUUGACGUUACCCGCAGAAGAAGCACCGGCUAACUCCGUGCCAGCAGCCGCGGUAAUACGGAGGGUGCAAGCGUUAAUCGGAAUUACUGGGCGUAAAGCGCACGCAGGCGGUUUGUUAAGUCAGAUGUGAAAUCCCCGGGCUCAACCUGGGAACUGCAUCUGAUACUGGCAAGCUUGAGUCUCGUAGAGGGGGGUAGAAUUCCAGGUGUAGCGGUGAAAUGCGUAGAGAUCUGGAGGAAUACCGGUGGCGAAGGCGGCCCCCUGGACGAAGACUGACGCUCAGGUGCGAAAGCGUGGGGAGCAAACAGG
Molecule: ribosomal RNA, 429 nt
Filed under: Chloroflexota bacterium
Lineage: Bacteria; Bacillati; Chloroflexota
Description: Chloroflexi bacterium partial 16S ribosomal RNA
Rfam family: Bacterial small subunit ribosomal RNA
Source: RNAcentral